ACACAAAUUAUUACCAACAUCUAAGCGGCAAAAGGAACAUACACUUUUAACAUCUCUGGAUAUAACACUGCUGAAUGGGAAGACUAAACAAAAGAUCACCAUGGAGCCACACGAUAUGUAUAUUGGAUGGUCUGCAACAUUCUGACACAAACCAUACUCAUACUGUCGAAAAGCAUUAAUUUGUUUUGAGAUACGAACCACUGGAUUACCCGUCUAUUAUCAUCCAGACAGAGAGGAGGCGUUGGAGGGGAAGUAAAACGACGCAGCCCGUGCAAUAGGUCAAAUGUUGGGCGAAAAACGAAAUUGAGGUGAUUAAAAUUGUGCCCAAAAUCGGCGUAACUGGGCGGCGUUAUUUGAACAGUUCACAAUAGUGUUUGCAGCUUCUGCUUCGCUGGUAACACAGUUCAUCCUGUGUUAUAUUUUGGGAAAAUAUGGAAAA
Molecule: long non-coding RNA, 439 nt
Organism: Mya arenaria
Lineage: Eukaryota; Metazoa; Mollusca; Bivalvia; Myida; Myidae
Exons: 3
Source: RefSeq, a predicted model, not a curated record